AGAGUUUGAUCCUGGCUCAGGAUGAACGCUGGCGGCGUGCCUAAUACAUGCAAGUCGAGCGAACGGACGAGAAGCUUGCUUCUCUGAUGUUAGCGGCGGACGGGUGAGUAACACGUGGAUAACCUACCUAUAAGACUGGGAUAACUUCGGGAAACCGGAGCUAAUACCGGAUAAUAUUUUGAACCGCAUGGUUCAAAAGUGAAAGACGGUCUUGCUGUCACUUAUAGAUGGAUCCGCGCUGCAUUAGCUAGUUGGUAAGGUAACGGCUUACCAAGGCAACGAUGCAUAGCCGACCUGAGAGGGUGAUCGGCCACACUGGAACUGAGACACGGUCCAGACUCCUACGGGAGGCAGCAGUAGGGAAUCUUCCGCAAUGGGCGAAAGCCUGACGGAGCAACGCCGCGUGAGUGAUGAAGGUCUUCGGAUCGUAAAACUCUGUUAUUAGGGAAGAACAUAUGUGUAAGUAACUGUGCACAUCUUGACGGUACCUAAUCAGAAAGCCACGGCUAACUACGUGCCAGCAGCCGCGGUAAUACGUAGGUGGCAAGCGUUAUCCGGAAUUAUUGGGCGUAAAGCGCGCGUAGGCGGUUUUUUAAGUCUGAUGUGAAAGCCCACGGCUCAACCGUGGAGGGUCAUUGGAAACUGGAAAACUUGAGUGCAGAAGAGGAAAGUGGAAUUCCAUGUGUAGCGGUGAAAUGCGCAGAGAUAUGGAGGAACACCAGUGGCGAAGGCGACUUUCUGGUCUGUAACUGACGCUGAUGUGCGAAAGCGUGGGGAUCAAACAGGAUUAGAUACCCUGGUAGUCCACGCCGUAAACGAUGAGUGCUAAGUGUUAGGGGGUUUCCGCCCCUUAGUGCUGCAGCUAACGCAUUAAGCACUCCGCCUGGGGAGUACGACCGCAAGGUUGAAACUCAAAGGAAUUGACGGGGACCCGCACAAGCGGUGGAGCAUGUGGUUUAAUUCGAAGCAACGCGAAGAACCUUACCAAAUCUUGACAUCCUUUGACAACUCUANNNNNNNNNNNGUAGAUAUCUCAUUUGGAUUUGUAGCAGUUCUAGUUAUGAUUGCUUAUGUGAUAGCAAUUUUUAUCAGAGAACCUGAAGAGAUUGAAAGUAAUAGAAGGAAAUUUUAAAAUAAUAUGAGUAGUUGGUCUAUUGAAAAUAAUAGGCUAACUUCUUUUUUUAUUUAAUGAAAAGUUUUAUACUUUUAUUGAUAGACUACGUAAAAAAUGACAUUUGCAAUUAUGUAGAUAUUUUAAAUUGAUUAAGGGGGAUUUACUUUGUUAACGGUAGAUCAAGUUAAAGAACUAAUAGGAGAAAUUAAAGAUCCUAUUAUAGAUGUGCCUUUAAAAGAAACAGAAGGUAUUGUUGAAGUUUCUAUUAAGGAAGAAAAAGAACAUGUGAGUGUUAAAUUAGCAAUGGCACAAUUAGGUGGUGCACCGCAAUUAGAUUUACAGAUGGCUGUUGUUAAUGCAUUAAAAGAAAACGGUGCGAAAACGGUCGGUAUACGAUUUGAAACAUUGCCGGAAGAAAAAGUAAAUCAAUUUAAACCAAAAGAAGAAAAUAAACCUAAAACGAUAGAAGGCCUAUUAUCUCAAAAUAAUCCAGUCGAAUUUAUUGCAAUAGCCUCCGGUAAAGGUGGUGUCGGUAAAUCUACUGUUGCAGUAAAUUUAGCCGUUGCCUUAGCUCGUGAAGGGAAAAAA
RNAcentral lists this ribosomal RNA (1702 nucleotides) under Staphylococcus aureus. RNAcentral's name for it is "bacterial SSU rRNA". The stretch from base 1 to 1180 matches the Rfam family "Bacterial small subunit ribosomal RNA". Lineage: Bacteria; Bacillati; Bacillota; Bacilli; Caryophanales; Staphylococcaceae. The record is from RNAcentral.